RNAcentral lists this ribosomal RNA (517 nucleotides) under Talaromyces pinophilus. Its description in RNAcentral is "SSU rRNA". It matches the Rfam family "Eukaryotic small subunit ribosomal RNA", at positions 51 to 570 of the family's 1831-position model. Lineage: Eukaryota; Fungi; Ascomycota; Eurotiomycetes; Eurotiales; Trichocomaceae. The record is from RNAcentral.
AGGAUGGUCUAAGUAUAAGCACUCUUGUACCGUGAAACUGCGAAUGGCUCAUUAAAUCAGUUAUCGUUUAUUUGAUAGUACCCUACUACAUGGAUACCUGUGGUAAUUCUAGAGCUAAUACAUGCGCAAAACCCCGACUUCGGAAGGGGUGUAUUUAUUAGAUAAAAAACCAAUGCCCCUCGGGGCUCCUUGGUGAUUCAUAAUAACUUCACGAAUCGCAUGGCCUUGCGCCGGCGAUGGUUCAUUCAAAUUUCUGCCCUAUCAACUUUCGAUGGUAGGAUAGUGGCCUACCAUGGUGGCAACGGGUAACGGGGAAUUAGGGUUCGAUUCCGGAGAGGGAGCCUGAGAAACGGCUACCACAUCCAAGGAAGGCAGCAGGCGCGCAAAUUACCCAAUCCCGAUACGGGGAGGUAGUGACAAUAAAUACUGAUACAGGGCUCUUUUGGGUCUUGUAAUUGGAAUGAGAACAAUCUAAAUCCCUUAACGAGGAACAAUUGGAGGGCAAGUCUGGUGCCAG